UGGGGAAUAUUGGACAAUGGGCGCAAGCCUGAUCCAGCGACGCCGCGUGUGUGAAGAAGGCCUGCGGGUUGUAAAGCACUUUCGAUGGGAACGAAAUGUGCCGGGUUAAUACCCCGGUAAGCUGACGUUACUCAAUGAAGAAGCACCGGCUAACUCUGUGCCAGCAGCCGCGGUAAUACAGAGGGUGCGAGCGUUAAUCGGAAUUACUGGGCGUAAAGCGCACGUAGGUGGCGACGUAAGUCGGGUGUGAAAGCCCCGGGCUCAACCUGGGAAUUGCAUUCGAGACUGCAUUGCUGGAGUACGGAAGAGGAGGGCGGAAUUCCCGGUGUAGCGGUGAAAUGCGUAGAUAUCGGGAGGAACAUCGAUGGCGAAGGCAGCCCCCUGGGCUAACACUGACGCUCAUGCACGAAAGCGUGGGGAGCAAACAGGAUUAGAUACCCAUGUAGUCCCUGAGCGGGCUGGCAAGGCGCAU
Molecule: ribosomal RNA, 472 nt
Filed under: uncultured bacterium
Lineage: Bacteria
Description: bacterial SSU rRNA
Rfam family: Bacterial small subunit ribosomal RNA
Source: RNAcentral